This 308-nucleotide long non-coding RNA is filed under the name Nicotiana benthamiana. RNAcentral's name for it is "long non-coding RNA (NBEN_LNC027748)". Lineage: Eukaryota; Viridiplantae; Streptophyta; Magnoliopsida; Solanales; Solanaceae. The record is from RNAcentral.
GACAUUAACCUAUCAUUCACUCGCCUAACCUCGACCACGGACUCCCUUAGGUCCCUAUCUACCAAGAUGCCCAUCCAUUCUUACCUCUCACGACCCUAGAAUACCACAGCUUAAACCCAUAUACAUUCCUCCCCUUCGACCCUUUCCACCUAGUCUCCUGGACACACGCUAUGUUAACCCUCUUCCUCUGAAGAACCUUCGCCAACUCGAUGGACUUACCCGUCAGAGUGCCUAUGUUCCAUGACCCAAUCCUUAAUCUAUGGGUGUCCGCUACCCUCUUCCCACCCUUACCUCCCGCCCUACCCGCA